AGUGAACGCUGGCGGUAGGCCUAACACAUGCAAGUCGAACGGCAGCACAGUAAGAGCUUGCUCUUACGGGUGGCGAGUGGCGGACGGGUGAGGAAUACAUCGGAAUCUACUUUUUCUUGGGGGAUAACGUAGGGAAACUUACGCUAAUACCGCAUACGACCUACGGGUGAAUGCAGGGGCUCUUCGGACCUUGCGCGAUUGAAUGAGCCGAUGUCGGAUUAGCUAGUUGGCGUGGUAAAGGCCCACCAAGGCGACGAUCCGUAGCUGGUCUGAGAGGAUGAUCAGCCACACUGGAACUGAGACACGGUCCAGACUCCUACGGGAGGCAGCAGUGGGGAAUAUUGGACAAUGGGCGCAAGCCUGAUCCAGCCAUACCGCGUGGGUGAAGAAGGCCUUCGGGUUGUAAAGCCCUUUUGUUGGGAAAGAAAAGCAGCAGGUUAAUACCCCACUGUUCUGACGGUACCCAAAGAAUAAGCACCGGCUAACUUCGUG
Molecule: ribosomal RNA, 492 nt
Filed under: uncultured bacterium
Lineage: Bacteria
Description: partial 16S ribosomal RNA
Rfam family: Bacterial small subunit ribosomal RNA
Source: RNAcentral